GAGCUUGGCGGUGUUUUAGACCUCUCAGGGGAACCUGUCUCAUAAUCGACAAUCCACGUUAGACCUGACCCUUUAUGGCAAUUCAGCCUGUAUACCGUCGUCGUCAGGUAACUUCUUAAAAUAUAGUAGUUAGCCCGAUAAUUUUAUUAAUUAAUACGUCAGAUCAAGGUGCAGCUAAUAAAAGGGAGAGGAUGGGUUACAAUUAUAGAUUUAUAAUUACGAAGGAUAUUUAGAAAUAAAAUAUUUAAAGGAGGACUUGAAAGUAAUUUUGAUUAUAUAAGUAAAAUGAAUAAGGCUCUGAAACGUGCACACAUCGCCCGUCGCUCUCGUUGAAAAAUGAGAUAAGUCGUAACAUAGUAGGGGUAAUGGAAAUUGUUCCUAAGC
Molecule: ribosomal RNA, 384 nt
Filed under: Conus sp. 3 RLC-2004
Lineage: Eukaryota; Metazoa; Mollusca; Gastropoda; Neogastropoda; Conidae
Description: partial 12S ribosomal RNA
Rfam family: Microsporidia small subunit ribosomal RNA
Source: RNAcentral